Molecule: ribosomal RNA, 406 nt
Filed under: uncultured bacterium
Lineage: Bacteria
Description: partial 16S ribosomal RNA
Rfam family: Bacterial small subunit ribosomal RNA
Source: RNAcentral
AGUGAACGCUGGCGGUAGGCCUAACACAUGCAAGUCGAACGGGUGGCGGACGGGUGAGGAAUACAUCGGAAUCUACUCUUUCGGGGGGGAUAACGUAGGGAAACUUACGCUCAUACCGCAUACGAUUGGAUGCGCCGAUGUCUGAUUAGCGAGUGGGCGGGGUAAAGGCCCCCCAAGGAGACGAUCCGUCGCUGGUCUGGAAGGAUGAACAGCCACACUGGAACUUAGACACGUUCCAGACUCGUACGGUAGGCAGCAGGGGGUAAUAUUGGCACAUGGCCGCAAGACUGACCCAGCCAUACCGCCCGGGGUAAGAAGGCCUUCGGGUGGUAAAGCCUUUUUGUCGGGAAAGCGGUACCCAAAGACGAAGCCCCGGCUAACUCCGUGCCAGCAGCCGCGGUAAUAC